This is a small nuclear RNA of 163 nucleotides. Its record names the gene U1. It matches the Rfam family "U1 spliceosomal RNA". Rfam says of the family: U1 is a small nuclear RNA (snRNA) component of the spliceosome (involved in pre-mRNA splicing). Its 5' end forms complementary base pairs with the 5' splice junction, thus defining the 5' donor site of an intron. The record is from Ensembl.
AUACUUACCUGGCAGGGGAGACACCAUGAUCAAGAAGGUGGUUCACCCAGGGCGAGGCUCAUCCAUUGCACUCCAAUUGUGUUGACCCCUGCGACUUCCCCAAAUGUGGAAUCUCGACUGCAUAAUUUAUGGUAGUGGGGUACUGCGUUCGCGCUCUCCCCUG